UCACACUAUCAUUAACUGAAUCCAUAGGUUAAUGAGGCGAACCGGGGGAACUGAAACAUCUAAGUACCCCGAGGAAAAGAAAUCAACCGAGAUUCCCCCAGUAGCGGCGAGCGAACGGGGAGGAGCCCAGAGCCUGAAUCAGCAUGUGUGUUAGUGGAAGCGUCUGGAAAGGCGCGCGAUACAGGGUGACAGCCCCGUACACAAAAGCGCAUGUGCUGUGAGCUCGAUGAGUAGGGCGGGACACGUGGUAUCCUGUCUGAAUAUGGGGGGACCAUCCUCCAAGGCUAAAUACUCCUGACUGACCGAUAGUGAACCAGUACCGUGAGGGAAAGGCGAAAAGAACCCCGGCGAGGGGAGUGAAAAAGAACCUGAAACCGUGUACGUACAAGCAGUGGGAGCACAGGUUUACCUGUGUGACUGCGUACCUUUUGUAUAAUGGGUCAGCGACUUAUAUUCUGUAGCAAGGUUAACCGUAUAGGGGAGCCGGAGGGAAACCGAGUCUUAACCGGGCGUUAAGUUGCAGGGUAUAGACCCGAAACCCGGUGAUCUAGCCAUGGGCAGGUUGAAGGUUGGGUAACACUAACUGGAGGACCGAACCGACUAAUGUUGAAAAAUUAGCGGAUGACCUGUGGCUGGGGGUGAAAGGCCAAUCAAACCGGGAGAUAGCUGGUUCUCCCCGAAAGCUAUUUAGGUAGCGCCUCGUGAAUUCAUCUCCGGGGGUAGAGCACUGUUUCGGCUAGGGGGCCAUCCCGGCUUACCAACCCGAUGCAAACUGCGAAUACCGGAGAAUGUUAUCACGGGAGACACACGGCGGGUGCUAACGUCCGUCGUGAAGAGGGAAACAACCCAGACCGCCAGCUAAGGUCCCAAAGUCAUGGUUAAGUGGGAAACGAUGUGGGAAGGCCCAGACAGCCAGGAUGUUGGCUUAGAAGCAGCCAUCAUUUAAAGAAAGCGUAAUAGCUCACUGGUCGAGUCGGCCUGCGCGGAAGAUGUAACGGGGCUAAACCAU
Molecule: ribosomal RNA, 1009 nt
Filed under: Salmonella enterica subsp. enterica serovar Infantis
Lineage: Bacteria; Pseudomonadati; Pseudomonadota; Gammaproteobacteria; Enterobacterales; Enterobacteriaceae
Also listed under: 2 other names
Description: partial 23S ribosomal RNA
Rfam family: Bacterial large subunit ribosomal RNA
Source: RNAcentral